CACUACAAAUAAACCUCAAAAUGAAACUACAAAGGUUCCAAAAUCCAUAACAAAAGUACAAAACAUCAACGUACACUGUGUUGUCAAAACAACUACAAACAUCUAAUGUCUUCCAGAAUGAACUCAAAUCUUCUACAAAUCUUUAAAAACAUCCUAAUCAUGUCAACUUCUCACCCAAGCUGAUCUGAAAGGGAAGGGAAAAAGGGUGAGCUACAAAGCUGAGUAAGCAUCAAUAUCUGAAACGAAAUGAUUCGAAUAGAAGAGCAAAGGAGUUGGAUUCAUGAGCUGCAACACAAUUAACACAAGAUUUUAGUGAAUCAAUAACAAUACAAUUAAGUUCUGUAAUUCAUACCUAAUGAAGCCUUAUUCCCAUGGUAGUCACAUGAGCCUUAUUACUAAAUGAUUAAAGGUCUAGACUCCUUCCGAUGAUUCAAAUGAACUGAAUCAACCACAUGUUCAGAUGCUAUACGAUGUUCGAUUAUAAACACUUUAAACAAUGAAACGAAGGCAAUGACAUCUGAAUCAAUAAUCAACUGAGUUUCAAAUAUCAAAGGAGGAAACUGAAAACAGAAUCACAAUACAACAAAAGUGGCUCAAGAAAUUCAGAAUGAUGGAAGCAAAGCAAUGCAAAGCUAACAACACAAGGAUACUUACAUGAUUCACAAUGCUUGAACCAUGGAAUCCAACAGUUGAGUUCCUUAACUUAACAAAUCUCUCUCUCAAACUCUAACCUCUUAGUUUUGGUUCUAAAAUAAGCAAAAUUGGUUGAGGAGAAGCAAAAGCUGUCAAUAAAAAGGAGCCAACUUUCUUUAAGCAGAUGGUGGAGCGUUACUUCAGUUGUGGGCUUGCUUGUUAAGAGGUGGUAGCUUACUUCAAGCAAGUGGUGGAGGUUAACUUUAUAAAUGAUGCCUACUUGUUGUGCUAAAAUAUUAGUAGGGCAGACCAACCAGCCAAUCUUAUAAAGGUUGACUUGCG
Molecule: long non-coding RNA, 975 nt
Filed under: Malus domestica (apple)
Lineage: Eukaryota; Viridiplantae; Streptophyta; Magnoliopsida; Rosales; Rosaceae
Description: long non-coding RNA (MDOM_LNC003468)
Source: RNAcentral